Molecule: ribosomal RNA, 465 nt
Filed under: uncultured bacterium
Lineage: Bacteria
Description: partial 16S ribosomal RNA
Rfam family: Bacterial small subunit ribosomal RNA
Source: RNAcentral
GACGAACGCUGGCGGCGUGCUUAACACAUGCCAGUCGAACGGAAAGGCCCCUUUGGGGGUACUCGAGUGGCGAACGGGUGAGUAACACGUGAGUAACCUGCCCUUGACUUCGGGAUAACUUCAGGAAACUGGGGCUAAUACCGGAUAGGAAUCCUUGCUGCAUGGUGGGGGUUGGAAAGCUUCGGCGGUUUUGGAUGGACUCGCGGCUUAUCAGCUUGUUGGUGGGGUAGUGGCUUACCAAGGCUUUGACGGGUAGCCGGCCUGAGAGGGCGACCGGCCACAUUGGGACUGAGAUACGGCCCAGACGCCGACGGGAGGCAGCAGGGGGGAAUAUUGCACAAUGGGCGGAAGCCUGAUGCAGCAACGCCGCGUGCGGGAUGACGGCCUUCGGGUUGUAAACCGCUUUCAGCAGGGGCGAAGCUUGUGGUGACGGUACCUGCAGAAGAAGCACCGGCUAACUACGUG